CAAAUAUCCCAACUGUGUUUUUUUUCUUCUUCUACUUUUAUCACCAGUUUGGACUUGAAAGUCCACGUGGAGGUUGAUCUGAGGACACGUCAAACUUUACUUCCCGUGGCGCUAAAACGAUCCGCCAUGACAGGGCGUAGACCACCACCAUCCUUCACCAGAGAGACAACAGCAGUUCCAUGUCUUCAGGAGGUCCACGCCAUCUAGCAUCAACUUGAUGUAAUGCAGCUCGCUCACGAAACCAUCCAAAGCGGAAAGACGAGAAAGCCAGAGAAAGUGGAGUACUGCCACCCGCCCACCAGGUUGCCCUUCUCCAGCUUCAGGUAGACUUUGUCCUCCUUUUCCAGGUACAGCAGGACCCCAUUGGUGGCUGCUUCGCGGGUCACGUCCUUGUCCCCUGCGAAGGCCGAGAUGACCGGCCUCCCGUUCAGCAUCAGGUUCACCUGAAACCAACAACCAUCACAUGAUUAAAGCUCAUUUUCUUGGCUUCAAAGGUUAUAUCAUGGGUGUCCAGACUUUUUCCUCCAGCGAGGGCCACAUAGUGAAAAAUGAAGGGAUGCAGCUUUGCCACUUUGAUAUUUCGUAAAUAUGCUAAGUUAUAUAUAUUUCAAGAAAAAAGUCCAUCUCAGCUUUGUCAUGUACUUUAGGUGAAAAAGCCUGUUAUUAAUACUAUAUUAAUUAAUAUCAACUACACUCUUUGCUCUUUUUCUUCCCGUUUUUGCUGUUUUUUUCCAAACAUGUCAAAUUUCUUAUAAUCUUCUUAAAUGUUCUUCUCAUAAUAUUAUGACUUUAUUCCCAUGAUAUUUCGAUUUUAUUCCCAUCAUAUUAUAACUUUUUCCCCAACCUGAUUUUGUUUCUCAUAUUACGACUUUUAAAACAGAAAAUAAAGCAUUUUUUCUUAAAUAUUUCAACUCUAUGCUACUAAAGUGACAUUAUUUUCGUAAAACUGCAACUUUUUUCUCAUA
Long non-coding RNA from Dunckerocampus dactyliophorus (ringed pipefish), 965 nucleotides. RefSeq lists it as uncharacterized. The record is from RefSeq and is a predicted model, not a curated record. Lineage: Eukaryota; Metazoa; Chordata; Actinopteri; Syngnathiformes; Syngnathidae. The transcript has 3 exons.